Molecule: ribosomal RNA, 600 nt
Filed under: uncultured archaeon
Lineage: Archaea
Description: bacterial SSU rRNA
Rfam family: Archaeal small subunit ribosomal RNA
Source: RNAcentral
CGCACUGCUCAGUAACACGUGGACAACCUGCCCUGAGGACUGGAAUAAUCCCGGGAAACUGGGGGUAAUUCCAGAUAUGUCAGAACUCCUGGAAUGGGUUCUGGCAGAAAGGCUCCGGCGCCUCAGGAUGGGUCUGCGGCCUAUCAGGGUAGUAGUGGGUGUAACGUACCUACUAGCCUACGACGGGUACGGGUUGUGAGAGCAAGAGCCCGGAGAUGGAUUCUGAGACAUGAAUCCAGGCCCUACGGGGUGCAGCAGGCGCGAAAACUUUACAAUGCGGGCAACCGCGAUAAGGGGACCUCGAGUGCUGGGUUACAAACCUGGCUGUUGGGCUGCCUAAAAAGCAGUCUAUAGCAAGGGCCGGGCAAGACCGGUGCCAGCCGCCGCGGUAACACAGGCGGCUCGAGUGGUAACCGCUAUUAUUGGGUCUAAAGGGUCUGUAGCCGGCCGACUAAGUCUCUUGGGAAAUCUGGCAUCUCAAGUGUCAGGCUGCCAGGGGAUACUGGUCGGCUUGGGACCGGGAGAGGUGAGAGGUACCUCGGGGGUAGGGGUGAAAUCUUGUAAUCCUCGAGGGACCACCAGUGGCGAAGGCGUCUCACC